Molecule: ribosomal RNA, 273 nt
Filed under: uncultured bacterium
Lineage: Bacteria
Description: partial 16S ribosomal RNA
Rfam family: Bacterial small subunit ribosomal RNA
Source: RNAcentral
GACGGAGGAUGCAAGCGUUAUCCGGAAUGAUUGGGCGUAAAGCGUCCGCAGGUGGCAGUUCAAGUCUGCUGUCAAAGACCGGGGCUUAACUUCGGAAAGGCAGUGGAAACUGAACAGCUAGAGUAUGGUAGGGGCAGAGGGAAUUCCUGGUGUAGCGGUGAAAUGCGUAGAGAUCCGGAAGAACACCGGUGGCGAAGGCGGUCUGCUGGGCGGUGAACUCGCAAGAGUUCAAUAGCCGACACUGAGGCGCGGACAGCGUGGGGAGCAAACGGG